UCGCCCGAGUCGCCUCGAGCCCGUCUCACCUGUGAACGAGGGAACGCACCGCAAAUUCGCUCGAGUCUCGCAGCCGUUCCACCGCGAAUCGGUGUGUGCCACGUGAUUAUCUACAUCGGGUCGCUCGUUUCUGCGGUCAACGCGUUGCACCUCCUCGUCGACCAAGACGACCACCAUGACGACAGCGGCCAAGCUGUACGGCAAGGACCUGAGCGAGUAUGACGACAUUGACGUGGACAAACUGCUGGCGGAGCUCACGCCCGAGGAACUCAACAUACUGGCCAAGGAAGUGGAUCCUGACGACAGUUUCAUGCCACCCUCGCAACGCUGCAGUUAUGAGUGCACCAAGAGCCCCACGGGGCCACUGAAUCGCAAGAAACUCAUCGAGCACAUCAACAAGCAGGCUCUAGAGACACCUGAUAUUCCAGAAUUGAAGCCGUACGUUCCUGGUGUGGUUAGAGGUAAAAAAUGGAUACCUCCACCGCAAGAGUCCGUGAAGGAGAAGGAGGCGGAGGAACAGAUCGCGAUAGACCUCGGCGAGGAGUACGAGCAGGCGCUUUCAGCUGCUACCCAGGAGGAAAUCAUUGAUCUUGCUGCUAUUCUUGGAUUCCAUUCCAUGAUGAAUCAGGAUCAGUAUCACGCGUCGCUGUUAAAUUCUGGACAACCGGUCGGCCUCGGCUGGGACGGAGUGACGAAGGCCAGCCAGCCGAAAGUUUACCCGAUGGAGCCGCCCAACGACACGGACGUCGACGCUACCAUCAAACAAGUGCGGAACGACGAUUCGACUCUGGUCGAGCUGAACUGGAACAAUAUUAAAAAUAUCUCAGACGAAAAAUUCCUCCAGUUAUUCGAGGGUUUGGAAAUGAACACGCAUCUGGAAUCCCUGAGUUUGACCAACGUCGGGCUGAACGACAAGACCGCGCAACGGCUGGCCGAUGCAUUGGAGAAGAACUCGACGCUUAAAGUCCUCAACGUGGAGACGAAUUUCAUAAGCCCACCUGUGAUAGUAAGGCUCAUCAGAUCGCUCCUCAAGACAAAAGCUAUCGAGGAAUUCCGAUGUUCGAAUCAGAGGUCACAAGUGCUGGGUAACAAGAUCGAGAUGGAGAUCACGCAGCUGGUGGAACAAAACCCGACGUUGCUACGGCUCGGGUUGCAUCUGGAAUUCAACGACGCCCGACAUCGCGUCGCUGCACACUUGCAACGCAAUAUCGAUAGGAUCCGCCGUGUGGAACCCAUGGAACGAGCUAAGCUUGUAGCGAUCGCUGGUGGUCCUGCUACCUUCACCGUUCUUCCCGUAGAUGACUUAAAAAACAGAGCGUAGCGCUGUUGCAGCGCAUACGGCAGUCCCGGCUCGGGGUGGCGACAUCCUAACGCGAAGUGGCGUUCGCCUAGAUCGCCUGCGCCGCACGGGAAGAGCUUCCCGCAACUACACCAUCGGCUGGGCCAUGCAAUGAUAAUGAUGAUAAUGAUC
This 1471-nucleotide unclassified non-coding RNA is filed under the name Ooceraea biroi (clonal raider ant). RNAcentral's name for it is "tropomodulin, transcript variant X7". The record is from RNAcentral. Lineage: Eukaryota; Metazoa; Arthropoda; Insecta; Hymenoptera; Formicidae.